CCUACGGGUGGCAGCAGUGAGGAAUCUUCCACAAUGGACGAAAGUCUGAUGGAGCGACACCGCGUGUAGGAUGAAUGUCUAACGAUUGUAAACUUCUUUUCUGAGGGAGCAUAAUGAGAGUACCUCAGGAAUAAGGGACGGCUAAUUACGUGCCAGCAGCCGCGGUAAUACGUAAGUCCCAAGCGUUACCCGGAAUCACUGGGUGUAAAGGGUUCGUAGGCGGCGAAGUAAGUUGGAUAUUAAAGACCGGAGCUCAACUCCGUGUACGUGUUCAAAACUGCUUUGCUAGAAUUAGGGAGAGGUAAGCGGAAUUCUGAGUGUAGGGGUGCAAUCCGUAGAUACUCAGAGGAACACCAAAAGCGAAGGCAGCUUACUGGAACUAUAUUGACGCUGAGGAACGAAAGCGUGGGUAGCGAAAAGGAUUAGAUACCCCUGUAGUC
RNAcentral lists this ribosomal RNA (440 nucleotides) under uncultured bacterium. Its description in RNAcentral is "bacterial SSU rRNA". It matches the Rfam family "Bacterial small subunit ribosomal RNA", at positions 338 to 795 of the family's 1533-position model. The record is from RNAcentral.